RNAcentral lists this ribosomal RNA (497 nucleotides) under uncultured bacterium. Its description in RNAcentral is "partial 16S ribosomal RNA". It matches the Rfam family "Bacterial small subunit ribosomal RNA", at positions 28 to 507 of the family's 1533-position model. The record is from RNAcentral.
GAUGAACGCUGGCGGCGUGCCUAAUACAUGCAAGUCGAGCGAACAGACGAGGAGCUUGCUCCUCUGACGUUAGCGGCGGACGGGUGAGUAACACGUGGAUAACCUACCUAUAAGACUGGGAUAACUUCGGGAAACCGGAGCUAAUACCGGAUAAUAUAUUGAACCGCAUGGUUCAAUAGUGAAAGACGGUUUUGCUGUCACUUAUAGAUGGAUCCGCGCCGCAUUAGCUAGUUGGUAAGGUAACGGCUUACCAAGGCGACGAUGCGUAGCCGACCUGAGAGGGUGAUCGGCCACACUGGAACUGAGACACGGUCCAGACUCCUACGGGAGGCAGCAGUAGGGAAUCUUCCGCAAAGGGCGAAAGCCUGACGGAGCAACGCCGCGUGAGUGAUGAAGGUCUUCGGAUCGUAAAACUCUGUUAUUAGGGAAGUACAAAUGUGUAAGUAACUAUGCACGUCUUGACGGUACCUAAUCAGAAAGCCACGGCUAACUACGUG